GUCAGGAUGGCCGAGUGGUCUAAUGCGCCAGACUCAAGCUCUGGAGGCGUGGGUUCAAAUCCCACUUCUGACA
Molecule: non-coding RNA, 73 nt
Organism: Cololabis saira (Pacific saury)
Lineage: Eukaryota; Metazoa; Chordata; Actinopteri; Beloniformes; Belonidae
Source: the annotation of a RefSeq genome assembly